Molecule: long non-coding RNA, 209 nt
Organism: Rhododendron vialii
Lineage: Eukaryota; Viridiplantae; Streptophyta; Magnoliopsida; Ericales; Ericaceae
Exons: 3
Source: RefSeq, a predicted model, not a curated record
UUAAACAAAGGCCGAACCAAUUGCUAAGGAAAAACUAAAGGGAACAGUCACGGACAAGGGAAAGAAAAAGCUAACCACCGCAGGAAAGGGAAAAGAAAAUUCAUGUCCAGUGGUUCAAGUUCUUCAAGAAAGAAAUACUGGUGUUGUGAUCCGCAAUGAAAAGGACAUUAUGCGCUUGCAUGAGGAUAAACGAAAGGCUGAAGCAAUGG